GUUCUUAAAAUUGAAAUCUCUCUCAAGUUUUGGCAUGACUGUUAUUAAUUAAGAUUUGCUCUAAACCUAAACUUGUGGGAAGAGUACUUGAUCUGAAGUCUAAGUCAUUAACGGAUAUGAUAUGGGAAGGUUGAGCUGCUGUUUAUCUGUUCCUAGAGAUGCUAGAAUUCUGGAGAAUUUUAUCUUUGAAAAUCUUUAAAAUGUUGCAUGAUGAGUUCCUGUAUGAUGAGAGUUUAAAUUCCUACCACAGCCAUAUAUACAUGCUUGUUAGACUAUGAACCACACAUUUACUUUUUAAUGCUUAUGAGCAUUGAGUGUGGUCAAGCUGUGUAGACCCUUAGGAGCUUGUCAUGUGGUUAAAUCAAGAUUCACUUGCACGUUCACUCACACAUGGUACUUCUACUCUAGAAGUACCAUCCAUAUAUAUCCAUCCAUUUCCAUCUCCAGAACCACCCAAAAAUAUUCUACUCCUAAUCCGGGAGAGAAUAGCCAAAAACAUUCUCCUAUUUCUGUUUUUCCCUGUGAAAAAAAAUGCUCAAGUUAUCUUGGUUACUACCACUUGCUAUAUUAUUUUAGGAGAUGAGUGCUCUAAAAAAAGAAAGAAAAACAGAAAGAAUGCGAGGAAAUAAAAGGGGCAAGUGCCCGGAACCUCGAAUGAAAAGAAAAAGUGAGACGAGAGGUAAAAAUGGACAAGUGUCCGACAGUAGAAUUAGGGGUACAAGAUACCCACCUGAGAGAAAAGAAAAAUAAAAUAUAGAGCAUCUCAUUCUCCUCAAAAAGUUUCAAAAGAGCAAGAAAGGUAUGUAUCCCCUCAAAAGAGCAUAAGUAGAAUUAGACUUCCACCAUUGUUAUCACCAUCAUCACCAUACACCAUUCAUUCGCCACACAUGCACAUCUUGAUUUGACUUAUUGACUUGUUCUUCUGGAUCCAUGGUCUGACUAUGCAAUAAAUGUCUUGUAAGUAUGUAUUAGCUGUCUCCCACCUAUGAGCUCCAGAUAUCAAAACCUUAUUAGAGUAGGGUGAGAGAGAAGGCAAUGCCACUAUGCCUC
Molecule: long non-coding RNA, 1050 nt
Filed under: Sorghum bicolor (sorghum)
Lineage: Eukaryota; Viridiplantae; Streptophyta; Magnoliopsida; Poales; Poaceae
Description: long non-coding RNA (SBIC_LNC012181)
Source: RNAcentral